UUGUAGAUGACGCUGCCCCCAUAGCAUUCAGGAGCCAUCCCCCAAAUACCAAAACCUGCAGGGAAGCACUGAAGGCCAAAACAAGGUAACAAAGCUGCUAGGAGCAAUUGGAGAGGAGAUUGCUGAGAUUUCUGCCAAAGAAUUGAAAAGCUCCAGUUCCUGCAGUGGGACCCCCCAGCCCAGGGAGUGACUUGGUUCACCUUCAGCAUCUGCUUGCUCUGUGGUGUGAGGCAGGAA
This 237-nucleotide long non-coding RNA is filed under the name Junco hyemalis (dark-eyed junco). Its description in RNAcentral is "lncRNA (ENSJHYG00000001155.1)". Lineage: Eukaryota; Metazoa; Chordata; Aves; Passeriformes; Passerellidae. The record is from RNAcentral.